GAGGCCCAGUGUCCUCAGUCUGGUGGAGGAAGAGUUGGACCCAAGAUAACUUUGGCCUCAUCAGACAAUACUAGUCCAGCCAGGACCCAGAAGGUGUGUGGCAUACACCUGUAAUCCCGGGACACUGGAGACUGAGACGGGGAUCCCUACAGGUACAUGCCUAUAAUCCCAGCUACUGGGGAGGCUGAGGCAGGAGGAUCACAAGUUCAAGGCCAGCCUGGGCAACUUGAAAGACUAUCAAAAAGGACUGAGGAGUGUAGUUCAGCACUUAGCACUUGCCGAGCUUGUGUGUGUACCUGGGUUCAAUCCACAGUAAUGCAAGUCAGUAAAAUAAACUCUCAAACCGGGGAGGGCUGCGUGCAGCAGCAAUGAACAUGAUUUCUCUCUCCUUGGAGUUCCACGUCCACACGGCCUGUCAGGAGUGGGAACACAAGCACUUGUUCCCACCUUCUUCCCUGUCAGUCGCCCCUCAAACACUGCUUUCUUCUAAAUGUAAUUUAGAGCUGCCCCUUUCUCCAGUCUCCUGGCCCAGCUCAAGUUCCAUUUUGUUUCAGCUGAGCCACUGCCCCAGCCUUUUCUUUGACCAUCCUAUUUCCAGCCCACCCUGGCCCCUGGGGAACUCGAAACAUCCAGGUCCGAUCCCGCUCCCACCCUCACUCCACGUUGCCUCCAGCUGCUACCCAAACUCAGUCCAUCCGAAAGCCUUGCGGGCCGGCUAGUCACUGUCCGCCCUGGGCACCCGGACUACCCUGACAACGAUCGGGUCAGCUCCGCACUAGCCUGUUCCACAGAUCCUUUUGCCUGGGGGAUGGUCCGGGCCCACCUCUGGCAACUUAGCGAGAUCCUAUCUCAAAAUGGUAAAAAGCACUAGGAUGUUGCUCAAUGCAAAGGCCCUGGACUCAGUCCCCAGUACAGUGCAUAUCUGCCUGUUCUGUAAGGAGGGGCAAGGGCCAGCCAGGACAGACUCCUGUGGGGCGAGGACCGUCCUUUUUCUCUGCUGUCCGAUUCUCGCCGCCCCCUAGAAGGCACCGGAAGAGCCGCGAUGGAACCGGGGAUAACGGAAAGAACCCGGGGAGCUGGAGCGGGAAGCGGGGACUCCCUAGGUCCAUUUUCAAAGCCAACCGGCCGGCAGGCGGCAGAAGGCCACGGGCUCACGAGCGGACUGGGGUAGCCCCACUCGCUUUUCGGUUCCGACCCGUAAGCACUCACAGCCCUAGGUGAGCCGCGGUGCACGCACAGCCCCUGCCCCCCGCGCGGGCACGCCGGGAGAGGGAGUUCCGGAACGCGCCCCGAGUGCGGCCGAGGAGAGCGAAGGACUACAAGGCCCAGGAUGCACCGC
This 1339-nucleotide long non-coding RNA is filed under the name Heterocephalus glaber (naked mole-rat). RNAcentral describes it as "lncRNA (ENSHGLG00000042733.1)". The record is from RNAcentral. Lineage: Eukaryota; Metazoa; Chordata; Mammalia; Rodentia; Bathyergidae.